GCCCAGCUGGCUCAGUCAGUAGAGCGUGCGACUCUUGAUCUCAGGGGUUGUGAGUUCAAGCCCCAUGUGGGGCG
RNAcentral lists this transfer RNA (74 nucleotides) under Ailuropoda melanoleuca (giant panda). It matches the Rfam family "tRNA". From Rfam's summary of the family: Transfer RNA (tRNA) molecules are approximately 80 nucleotides in length. Lineage: Eukaryota; Metazoa; Chordata; Mammalia; Carnivora; Ursidae. The record is from Rfam by way of RNAcentral.